RNAcentral lists this ribosomal RNA (397 nucleotides) under uncultured bacterium. RNAcentral describes it as "partial 16S ribosomal RNA". It matches the Rfam family "Bacterial small subunit ribosomal RNA", at positions 523 to 918 of the family's 1533-position model. The record is from RNAcentral.
AUACGUAGGUGACAAGCGUUAUCCGGAUUUACUGGGCGUAAAGGGCGUGUAGGCGGUCUUGCAAGUCAGAAGUGAAAUUCCUGAGCUCAACUCGGGCGCUGCUUCUGAAACUGCAGGACUUGAGUGCUGGAGGGGAUAGCGGAAUUCCUAGUGGAGCGGUAAAAUGCGCAGAUAUUAGGAAGAACACCGGUGGCGAAGGCGUCUAUCAGGACAGUAACGGACGCUGAGGAGCGAAAGCGUGGGGAGCAAACAGGAUUAGAUACCAUGGUAGUCCACGCCGUAAACGAUGAAUACUAGGUGUAGGGGGUAUCGACUCCCUCUGUGCCGCAGUUAACACAAUAAGUAUUCCGCCUGGGGAGUACGGCCGCAAGGUUGAAACUCAAAUGAAUUGACGGGG